This 72-nucleotide transfer RNA is filed under the name Microcaldota archaeon. Its description in RNAcentral is "tRNA-Val". It matches the Rfam family "tRNA". From Rfam's summary of the family: Transfer RNA (tRNA) molecules are approximately 80 nucleotides in length. Their secondary structure includes four short double-helical elements and three loops (D, anti-codon, and T loops). Lineage: Archaea; Nanobdellati; Microcaldota. The record is from RNAcentral. RNAcentral also lists the same sequence under 1 other name.
GGGCUCGUAGUCGAAUGGUAAGACGAUCGCUUGACGUGCGAUAGAUUCGGGGUUCGAUUCCCUGCGGGCCCA